Long non-coding RNA from Poecilia latipinna (sailfin molly), 8016 nucleotides. RefSeq lists it as uncharacterized. The transcript has 2 exons. The record is from RefSeq and is a predicted model, not a curated record. NCBI's taxonomy places the organism in Eukaryota, Metazoa, Chordata, Actinopteri, Cyprinodontiformes, Poeciliidae.
AGAAACACUCAGCAACACAUCACAGACGCUGAAAAACAAAGAUGCUUCAUAACUCCGAGGACUCUAUUGUCUGUCGUGGUGGGGAAUUGUUUCUCUUGCCCUGGGAUUAGCAUAGGAUUCGAUGUGUUUGUUUGACUAAUGGUCAGUGUUUUGUGGCUGUAAAAUCAGCAGCCCAAGAGUCUUGGAAAGUCAAAACAUUAGCGUUUGAAAUGCCACCAACCUCCCUGGUGGAUGUCGCUAAUGAAGGCGUGGUGCCACGUCCCUGCUAGAGCAGAGGUUCUCCUUUACAUACAAACACAUUUAGCACGUUCCUUGUUCUUCACCCACAAUGACCUUCUCUUUAGUCUGCUCGGCUGCAGCUAACCUGUGUGCUCCAUUAAUGACUGAUGGCAAAAGCUUGUUAGCACUGAAGACACUUUUCUGCUGGGAAAUGUUUGAGACCGACAAAGAGAAUCUAUAAUCAAAGGACAAUGAAAGGCGCUGGAGAAAAAUGUCUCUACUCCCUGGGGUAGUUUGGCCCUCCGGUAAGUUUACAAACUUUCCACACCGAAGACCCGAGGACUCUCCAGAAGUGUCUGUGUUACUGGUCACAGAAACUUUCAACUCUUUCUAAAUAAAAUAUGAAUUCAAUGUGUUGCUUUAGAAAGAGCUGCGUAUUGAUGGAAUCAUAUCUUACGGCCAAAAAAAAAAAAAAGUAAUUUUCCUCAGCCAGAAUCUCGUUGCCUCGGAGAAAGCCCGGCUUGUGUUACCUGGCAUUUUCUUGCAACACAUUCUUAUCCCACAUCCUCUUAAACUGAAAGCAGGGAAAUUGGAGCUGAUUGAAGGGAUUCGGUUUUGGUGAUGGAAGGACAGAAGCGGCGUGAGAGUACGAAGAGAAAGCUGUGAACCCAAUCUGCCGUGUGUUGACUGUACUGAUUAGGGGCUUGUGCUAAGAAGAGCCUCUCUAUCCCCUCAUUCCUUCUGUUUACUUUGAACCUCACAACUCCUUUCAACACAAGCACCCUUCUCAUGUCACCCUCAGCUGGAUCACCUGCAUCACAGGAGGCACAUGUCUUUGUAUGCCAUUCAGACCAAUUAAGAAGAUGACAGCUUAACUUGGGCUAGAAUGAGCAAAGUUAGCGUUUUCAUUGCACAGGGGCCAUAAGCCAUGUUUAGUAAUAUAAGGAGAAUAGUAAAUCGUAGCGAAACCUCCAGCAUUCUUUAUAAGCGGGUGUUCCACAUUGGAUAAAGCCAGCUGGAAAGCCAGCCGAUUACGGCUACUGGAACAAUGCUCAGCUAAUGUUUUGCAACAUUUCGAAAAUCUUCGGGGAGCAAUAAUUGGAGCUUUGGCCUUAUACAAGCAAACUCGAGACACAAGGAAUUAUGCACAGAUAAAUAAGGGGUGGAAUAGAAAAAGAGAAGCUAGGAAAGCAGCACAUCUAUUUUCACGCAGCAUGUUUGCUUAUUUAUGAUAUCUAAAGGCUGGUCUGGUCUGGAUUCGUGGCGGAAGCUGGGGAAAUAACACAGCCAGCCUAUUGCCCUCAGCGUCCGACUCCCCAGCUUUCAUUAAGUGUCAUUACCAGUACUUUCCAAAAAGCUGGCCAGCCUGAGACCUUACAUCCCCUCUGCAGAUAGUUGUCCAUGCAUAUGGAUGUAUUUCUGAUCCCUCUUAUCCACCACUGAGGAGGGGGAAUUAAGGCAGCGAAAGGCAGAGGACAGAGCUUAAAGGCGGCAUCCAUAUCUGACUGUUAUGGCCAAGAUGAAGCUAUUAAUUCAUCUCAUUGUCAGUUUUCAUGCUGCGCUUGUCGUUUUCAGAAUGUCACUCACGUUAUCGGCACAGAUUUUUAUUUUAUUUACUCUCAUUUGCAUGACCAUGUGGGUUAUUUACACCCAUUUCUGACUGAGCAAACGCAUUUAAUGUUCUUGCGAGGAAUUGUAUUUUCGUUGCAGCCAGUGUAAAAUAUCUGUGCUAUUUUAAAUUGUGAAUGUCGAGCAGCACGGUAUUCAUUAGCAAUUUGCUAUUGUUGCUCUGUGGCUUUGAGGCUGUCUCUUGAUUGAUGGCGGAGCUUGUUGUGUUUAUUUGUAUAUCGGGCUCUGAAAAAUUCAUAUUGUAUGCUUUUUCGAGCAGAAGUUAUCGAGAUUCGGUGUAAAUGGUACUUGGGAUUAGAUUUUCACAGCAGAUUGCGGUUAUUAAGGGGAAAAAAAAGCCUACCCCUUUGAGCAGUCAUCUUCCUGGGAGGCAAUCCAUUUCUCUUUCACGCAGCCCCGAGUGCCGGACCAGGCUCUUAAUGCACUGAAGCAAAAGUGCUUCGGUCCGCAACCUUUCACGCCUUCAGCUCUCCUUUAUGUGAUUGAAUAGUUAAUAACUAUAAGUCGCCUUUGAAAGCUUUGUGCCUCCAUCCUUCUGAGGCACUGCUUGUCUUUUUGUUUGCUUGGUUGUUAUACCUGCCCGCUGAUCUGUCUGUCUGCAUGUCUGCUUGCCCCCGAUGGCAAGUCGACUGUUAGCCCACCUCCUCUGCACCAGCCCCUCGGACUUUUAUCUUUGCGUCCCGCCUGACUUGCAGCCUGUGUGUCUGGCUGUCUUGGUUUGUACAUCCGAAUAUUGAGGUGUUUUUUUUUUUUUUUUUUUUUUUUUUUUUUUUUGUUAUCUUGUGCUUCCUGUUUAUCUUCCUGUACAUUUACACAAGCCGACAGACUCCCUCCUCACACAGCUUAUUAGCUCAUCCCACGCUCGCAGCUCUGGCAGAAUGUGACCCUGCCUAAUUGUGUACCAUGCUCAUUUGUUCUCCCUGCAUGAUGUGACUAUUGCUUAUGUAUUCUCCCCAGGGCUUCCAUCCCACAUUAAAAUGAUUGACUCAUUUCAUUCACUGCACAUUUUCAAGCUUUAUUUGAUAAGCUCAUUUCUCUUGGCAUUCAAAUCCUUCCUCUCGCGAUGCUUAAAAGUUCUAAUGUCGCCGAGGCAUAUUGCAGUUCACAGUCGGGUUUGUUUCUUCAGCUAAUUAUCUGAGUUGUGGAAUAAUUUUGCACGUGUGAUGUUUCCUUUCCGGUGGAACUGAGCCACAUACAAAAGGCUAGACAUUAACAAUGCAGUCAGAAUGGUUGAGGAGCCAAUUGUGUACAGCAAGCUGGCAGACGCGGUCAACAAGAAGCUUAAGUGGGAUUGGGACGCUGUUGAAGCUUAGCCAGAAUAAGCAGAGCAAAUUUGCAUUCUGUUAAAAUUUCUGUCUCCUUACACAGACCUGUUUUCCAAAUGAAAACGGCAUCAGCCGAUCAUGUAAUAAGGGAAUGUUUUGAUGAAAAAAUGGAGCCUAACAACCUUCUGCUGUCAAGGGACUUUGGUAUUUGACUACAAGAGGAAUGUUGAUUACAAGAGGGGAGAGGCAGCAGAUGAAUCAAAAUAUCAUAGCCUUUUGGUUUUUCAUCUGCUAUUAUGGCUGCAGAGUUGGAAAGACUUUCUUCUGAAGAUCUUAUCCCUGAGGGGACCCUGCCCUUUGCAGACAUUUCUAACAUUUUGGAAAUUACUGCGAUUGAGGAGAUUCUACUUUUAGUAUUGUAAUGACCUUCAAUCAUCAGUGAAAAGAACUAAAACAUGUUCAAGCGCUGUAAUAUGAAGAUGCAUAAAAUGAACAGUGAAUAAAGGCUGUGAGAUCACAACCGUUGCUAAUUGUUCUGUGUAAGCACUAUGUUGUACUAUUAUCUGUUAUAUAUUGAUCUUUAUUGUGAUUAUUGCAUAUCUGUAAGUUGACAUCUACAAAAGAAGAUACGCUUAAGUAGCACCCGGCAACUACUCCUAAAGUAAAAUGCCCACAAGUCAAAACAGCCAAAAAUCUUAAUGAGUCUGGCCAGAUAGAAAAGGAAUUUCUGCAAAAAUAAAAUAAUAAAGGUAUCAAACCCUUAACAAGUCUGCCUUUGUUCUUCCACUCCACCCACCACAAGCAGGCAUCGCUGCAGCUCUGAGGGCAGCUCUGAGAGUUCCAUGCCCAUCGGCCUUCAAUCACAUGGGAUGUCUGAGUUUGACAGUAUAAAGUCUUUCUUCUAGAACAAAAUAAGACCCCUAAGCAAUAGUGGAUGAGCUGUUAGUAACUCUGCACUCCAUGGGGAAGUAGAUCAAGCUUGGUAGUACAGUAUACACAAAGUGCUGGUUUGGGAUAAGACAAUGGACCUUUGAAAGCAGGACUGGAUGCCACGACGCUCCCCCGAUUCCUUGCCAUUUGCUUCUCUGCAAAUGCGUCUUUGUUGUUUUUAAAACCGACAAGAGUAAAACAAAGUUCCCCCCUUAAUUUCUACGAUGAAAGUGUUCAACUGUGUAAUGUUACGCAGUUUUCCCAACAAAUUUGGGACCUGCAGGAGAAGAUUGUAGAAGAUAUGAAUUGAAUUUUAAAACGGUGCGAAACAGGAGGGAAGUUAUCCACUUAGUGGAAGAACGAAUGGACUUAUUUAGCAUUAACACACAGAUGACUUGGUUCCUUCUCGCGGUUGAAGCCAUAUUUAAAAUACUUCCAGCUUUAAUGUCAAUGUUCAACACGUUGAGUGUCCGAGAAAACUAAAACUUACCAGAGAUCAGACACAAAGAUUAAGACGACACUUUGACAUAAUGACAUAGGUAACCCCUAUUAGGAUUUUUAAACUUCUUUGUUGUAUACAGUUAAAAGUUGCAAAUAAUUGAUACCACUUGCAAAUUGUGAGUCUGAGGAUAAAUUUAAUGUUUUACAUCAUUUCAUUUCGUCCCAAGCUCUUCUAAAGCUCCAUAAUUACCCUGAUUAAUGGGGAAAAAAUGUUUUUAUCAACUCAAAAGGUGGAAAAAAAAAGUAUUUCUGCAUAAAAAAAAAGAGCUGCAUCUCCAGAUUGUGGAAGUGUACAACAAGUAAUCAAAGUAAAUCAUAAGAAAAACGGACCUCAACAACAGUCUGCUGAGAAUCUUGGUCUUGGGAGUGAGCUAUAGAUUACAGUGAUUCCAAAGAGAGCUUCCAGCUUCAAAGAAUUUCUCGCAAUGAAUGGUCAGUGACGUCACUGACCAUGUAGUUCAAUACUCAAAUAGCUUCAAUAAAGAGAAAAUUAAUAUCCAUAAGCUAAACUGUCAAUUGGCAGGCCCCAAAAAUAAAUUAAGGGGUGGGGGGGGGGGGGAAUUGAACAAAACCCCCUGAAACCAGAAUUUAAGUUUGGAACGUUGGACUUCCUGAGUAGUCCCCAAGUUCCAUCGACCCAUUUCAUAUUUCUGUUCAUUAGCUGGCAAUAACCAGAAGAGUGUAAUCAGUGCUAAAUAUUCACAUGUAAAGCGUUGCUUUUAAAAGAUAUUGGAAUAAAUUAACUCUUCAUAUAUUCAAUCCUAAGCGUGGUAAAGGUGAAGUUAGAUGGUGCUGCAUUUUAGUCAUCAGAAAACAUUUGUACUUUUUCACUCUGAUAGCAUCCAACCAGCCGUCUGCUGACACAAACAGUAACCUUCUGUGUAGUUCAUCUUUUUAAACAUGUUGGUAUAGUCCUUUAAUGUAUGACAUGGAGACAAAUAUGUUAACAUAGUAUACUGCUGCACCAAAACAGUUAGCAUCUUCCAGGUUACAAGUGGGUGUGACUUUAUUCCCAGACCAGGAUUUUGUGGGGAAUCAACAUGAGCAAGCUUUAAUAAAACACGCUAUAUAUUCAUUUAAUUUUUAAAAUAAUUACAUUUGCUGUAAAGUAAGAGACAUAUCGCUGAGGCAAAAAGUGUGUACUCGUCUUCGCAGGAAGUUUUUGUUUCAUUUUUCUUAUACAUCCCCCGCUGUCUGUGUUUAUUCAGUUCAAAAAUAUCACAGUUCAGUGGUUUUAAUCUCUUUUCCCCCCGUGAACAUGCUGUUAGUCACAGGGAUGCAACACACAAACAGGCUUUAAUGCUCCAGCUGGCCAUCGCACACUGAUUUGAAAGCCACUCUAUCACAGAAAAGCAGUUAUAAAGUGAAGGACAGCUAACAACGAGCAUACAUAGCCUCCCGUUUCCAUCAUAAGCCACAUGUGGGUUCAAACCCGCUGAACGUAAAGGACCACAGAAAACAAGGGGUGAGGUGUGGGGCUGUGUAACAUUCAAAAUUCAAUCAAGUGAAGGCCAUCUCCAGCGGGGUAACAGCAUGUGGAGGCAGGAGGGGGGGAUAAGGGCGAACUCAGCUGAAGUUUCCACUGGGCCCGCUGAGCUCCUAAUGCAGCCUUGGAUGUAAUUGGGUCCCAGAAGGCUGUUCAUUAUUGCUGGUGAGCGAGGCAACAAAAAAAAAAAAAAAAAAAAAGUGGGUGGGUAGAGGGAAAAAGAAAAUGUCUCAUUCUUUGCUCAGUGCCUUUGUCCUGGCAACAUUAUGGGACACGAGUUAAUUAAAAGAGCCCUUGAUGCCUCUGUUUUUUUGUUUCUUUUUCUCAUCAAUCUCGCUUCUGCUCUUUAUUAAGUUUGUAACGGCAGUGGAAGCUCGUCGCUGUCAGCCGGCAGACUUUAAAACCAGCGGGAAGGUGCCGUUAACAUCAGGGACAACUCAUUUCAACAAAUCUCUCAGUGGUCAGCACCUAACAUCAGCAUAAUCUCUUCAUCAAGUGUCGGGGGCCGAGAAUAUACAGUCUGCAGGGGAUAGACGCUUCUCACGUAGCGGCAGCUUUAAUCACCCGGGUGUGGCAGAGGAGCCCGUUUAAGAGGCGUGGUUCUGCGCCUAAUCCUGCGGCUCCCAUCUAACGCCGCCUUGGAGGCCAUUUUAAUUCUCUCUGUCAUUACAGGGCCCUUCUCCGGAAAGCUGUGGUAAAGGUGACUGCUGACACUGUCAUUCACAAGGACUAUUUCAAAAUGUCAGCCUGUAGCUGAGAUUUGUCUCAUUAAAGUUGGUGGAGUCCAUUAUAUCCGUCCCCUCCUCCACCUGCCACACUCAAUCAAGACAAACUCAAGAGAACCGGAGGGGUCGAGGGCGCACUCAUAAUGCGCUUAUUUGCAUGAGGGUUACGGCAGACAGAUGAUCACUGACCAACAAGAAAGGAGCGAAGCGGUGGGAUUCAGCCGAGAGAAAAACAUAGUUAGUUACCGAGCUCUUAUUUGUCUUCCCUUCUGGACCCAUGCCAGUUGGAAAGGCAGGUUUUAGCAGAUGCUUCGAAGUGCAACUGUGAUAAAGACGGCCGAGCACCAUCCAAGCUUUUGUUCCAACAGUCCUGUGACCUGGAGAUUUACAUACAGCUUCGGCAAAACCCAGAAACGAGAUACAUCUUCACAGUGGAGGAGCCGAGAAGCACAGGGAUCACAUUGGUAGACGUGUUGCGUGAUCUGAGAGAGGGGAGGACAGAUGUGGGUUUCUUUUUUUUUCCCCUUUCCUCUAAUUUUCCUUCACCCCUGCUAAAGGCUGUGGAAACAAACGCAGUGGGAAUUUUAUUGCAACCAUUAAUAUUGUGGAGCUGUAUUUUUGUGUUCCCUUCGCUUUGCAAAAACAAGACCUCACUGAGAUGAAGGUUGUUGAGAGAACAAGUUCCAGAGUGCAAUAAAGUUUUGAAAGUUAGUUCACUGAAAGUUUUUCUUUUUUUUUUGCUAUUGUUACAAGGAAUUACUUUAAUAAUCAUUAGGCUCCAGCUUUUUAAGCUUUUUUUAUGUUAUGUUCACUCAAAGAAAAAAACAUUUUAGGAGACAUUGUCAAGAAUUAGAUGAGAGAGAAGUACCUAGAGGGCUAUAUAAACUCAUUUACUGUUUUUCUAAAACAUAAUUUGUUGUGGCAAAAACCAAUUAAUUUUAAUCCACAUAACUUCCCAAUUGAUCAUUAUCCACAAUUGUUUGUUGAAGUCUUAUUUUCUCUCCUGCCUAAUUAAAGGCUGUGGCAGAAGAAAAUAAUUCAGUUGUUGGCAUGCUGGCAUGUGCACAGCUGAGAACUUGUAAAUUAAUCACCCACCGUUGUUUGCUCUUGCUUGUGCAUCUGUAAAUAUAAAUCACUGAACCUGCAAGUAGGCAAUUUAUGGGCUAAAUUUGCAUCGCUUUCACUUAUUAAGUUAUCAUUUGUGCCACCGCAAAAGAAAGCCUAAACGUGUGCACGUUAAUCAAAUAUCACUAAAAGAAAA